RNAcentral lists this transfer RNA (74 nucleotides) under Pseudomonadota bacterium. Its description in RNAcentral is "Proteobacteria bacterium (wastewater metagenome) tRNA-Gly". It matches the Rfam family "tRNA". From Rfam's summary of the family: Transfer RNA (tRNA) molecules are approximately 80 nucleotides in length. Their secondary structure includes four short double-helical elements and three loops (D, anti-codon, and T loops). The record is from RNAcentral. RNAcentral also lists the same sequence under 1 other name. Lineage: Bacteria; Pseudomonadati; Pseudomonadota.
GCGGCUAUGGUUCAAUGGUAGAACUCUUCCUUGCCAAGGAAGGGAUAGGGGUUCGAUUCCCCUUAGCCGCUCCA